CAACCCCUCGCAUUCAGUUGCCAUCGGGUAAUGCCGGGCGACUCUGGAAGGACUGCCAUCGACAAGAUGGAGGAAGGUGGGGAUGACGUCAAGUCAUCAUGGCCCUUAUGAUCUGGGCUACACACGUGCUACAAUGGCCGGUACAACGGGCAGCGAAGGAGCGAUCCGGAGCGAAUCCUAAAAAGCCGGUCCCAGUUCGGAUUGCAGGCUGAAACUCGCCUACAUGAAGUUGGAGUUGCUAGUAAUCGCGAAUCAGAAUGUCGCGGUGAAUGCGUUCCCGGGUCUU
Molecule: ribosomal RNA, 286 nt
Filed under: uncultured Fusibacter sp.
Lineage: Bacteria; Bacillati; Bacillota; Clostridia; Eubacteriales; Fusibacteraceae
Description: partial 16S ribosomal RNA
Rfam family: Bacterial small subunit ribosomal RNA
Source: RNAcentral